UACGGGGGGAGCAAGCGUUGUUCGGAUUUACUGGGCGUAAAGGGCGCGUAGGCGGCGUAACAAGUCACUUGUGAAAUCUCCGGGCUUAACCCGGAGCGGCCAAGUGAUACUGUUGUGCUAGAGUGCGGAAGGGGCUACUGGAAUUCUCGGUGUAGCGGUGAAAUGCGUAGAUAUCGAGAGGAACACCUGCGGCGAAGGCGGGUAGCUGGGCCGACACUGACACUGAGAGACGAAAGCUAGGGGAGCGAAUGGG
RNAcentral lists this ribosomal RNA (253 nucleotides) under uncultured prokaryote. Its description in RNAcentral is "partial 16S ribosomal RNA". It matches the Rfam family "Bacterial small subunit ribosomal RNA", at positions 524 to 776 of the family's 1533-position model. The record is from RNAcentral.